CACUCCUGCGGGAGGCAGCAGUGGGGAAUAUUGCACAAUGGGCGCAAGCCUGAUGCAGCCAUGCCGCGUGUAUGAAGAAGGCCUUCGGGUUGUAAAGUACUUUCAGCGGGGAGGAAGGCAAUACGGUUAAUAACCGUGUUGAUUGACGUUACCCGCAGAAGAAGCACCGGCUAACUCCGUGCCAGCAGCCGCGGUAAUACGGAGGGUGCAAGCGUUAAUCGGAAUUACUGGGCGUAAAGCGCACGCAGGCGGUCUGUCAAGUCGGAUGUGAAAUCCCCGGGCUCAACCUGGGAACUGCAUUCGAAACUGGCAGGCUUGAGUCUUGUAGAGGGGGGUAGAAUUCCAGGUGUAGCGGUGAAAUGCGUAGAGAUCUGGAGGAAUACCGGUGGCGAAGGCGGCCCCCUGGACAAAGACUGACGCUCAGGUGCGAAAGCGUGGGGAGCAAACAGGAUUAGAUACCCCAGUAGUCCCAUG
Molecule: ribosomal RNA, 474 nt
Filed under: uncultured organism
Description: partial 16S ribosomal RNA
Rfam family: Bacterial small subunit ribosomal RNA
Source: RNAcentral